AACGAACGCUGGCGGCAUGCCUAACACAUGCAAGUCGAACGAGACCUUCGGGUCUUGUGGCGCACGGGUGUGUAACGCGUGGGAACCUGCCCUUAGGUUCGGAAUACCUCCCCGACAGGGGUGCUAAUACCGGAUAAUGUCUUCGGACCAAAGAUUUAUUGCCUUUGGAUGGGCCGGAGUUGGAUUCGCUGGUUGGUAGGGUUAUAGCUUACUAAGGGGACGAUUCAUAGAUUGGUAGAGAGAAUGGUCAGCCACACUGAGACUAGGACGCGGCCGGGACUCUUACGGGAGGGAGCAGUGGGGAAUAUUGGACAGUGGGCGGAGUCCUGAAGCAGCAAUGCCGCGUGAGCGAUGAAGGCCGUGGGGAAGUAAAGCUCUUUUACCCGUGAUGAUAAUGACGGUACCGGGAGAAAAAGCACCGGCUAACUACGUG
This 433-nucleotide ribosomal RNA is filed under the name uncultured bacterium. Its description in RNAcentral is "partial 16S ribosomal RNA". It matches the Rfam family "Bacterial small subunit ribosomal RNA", at positions 29 to 507 of the family's 1533-position model. The record is from RNAcentral.